ACAAAGGGCAGUGCUGUCCCCAGCCUAUUGGGGGCCCUAAGCAGAAUUUGAUUUUGGGGGCCCCCUCCCACCACAUGGAGUCACCUGUGCUUGACGAUUGAUGACACAAAUGUCACGCUAAUAUAAUGUUGCAUUAUAAAUUAAUACAGUGAGGUUAUGAAUUAAUACAGUGACGGAUUAUGAACUGCUGUCCCACUGGACACAAAGGCAUAAGGACCCUA
Molecule: long non-coding RNA, 221 nt
Organism: Etheostoma spectabile (orangethroat darter)
Lineage: Eukaryota; Metazoa; Chordata; Actinopteri; Perciformes; Percidae
Exons: 4
Source: RefSeq, a predicted model, not a curated record